RNAcentral lists this ribosomal RNA (497 nucleotides) under uncultured bacterium. Its description in RNAcentral is "partial 16S ribosomal RNA". It matches the Rfam family "Bacterial small subunit ribosomal RNA", at positions 28 to 507 of the family's 1533-position model. The record is from RNAcentral.
GAUGAACGCUGGCGGCGUGCCUAAUACAUGCAAGUCGAGCGAACAGAUGAGGAGCUUGCUCCUCUGACGUUAGCGGCGGACGGGUGAGUAACACGUGGAUAACCUACCUAUAAGACUGGGAUAACUUCGGGAAACCGGAGCUAAUACCGGAUAAUAUAUUGAACCGCAUGGUUCAAUAGUGAAAGACGGUUUUGCUGUCACUUAUAGAUGGAUCCGCGCCGCAUUAGCUAGUUGGUAAGGUAACGGCUUACCAAGGCAACGAUGCGUAGCCGACCUGAGAGGGUGGUGGGCCACACUGGAACGGAGACACGGUCCAGACUCCUACGGGAGGCAGCAGGAGGGAAUCUUCCGCAAUGGGCGAAAGCCUGACGGGACAACGCCGCGUGAGUGAUGAAGGUCUUCGGAUCGUAAAACUCUGUUAUUAGGGAAGAACAAAUGUGUAAGUAACUAUGCACGUCUUGACGGUACCUAAUCAGAAAGCCACGGCUAACUACGUG